RNAcentral lists this ribosomal RNA (301 nucleotides) under uncultured bacterium. Its description in RNAcentral is "partial 16S ribosomal RNA". It matches the Rfam family "Bacterial small subunit ribosomal RNA", at positions 509 to 809 of the family's 1533-position model. The record is from RNAcentral.
CAGCAGCCGCGGUAAUACGUAGGGUGCGAGCGUUAAUCGGAAUUACUGGGCGUAAAGCGUGCGCAGGCGGUUUUGUAAGACAGGCGUGAAAUCCCCGGGCUCAACCUGGGAAUGGCGCUUGUGACUGCAAAGCUAGAGUGCGGCAGAGGGGGAUGGAAUUCCGCGUGUAGCAGUGAAAUGCGUAGAUAUGCGGAGGAACACCGAUGGCGAAGGCAAUCCCCUGGGCCUGCACUGACGCUCAUGCACGAAAGCGUGGGGAGCAAACAGGAUUAGAGACCCGUGUAGUCCCUGUCUCUUAUAA